This is an RNA transcript of Acinonyx jubatus (cheetah), 3835 nucleotides long. RefSeq lists it as uncharacterized. NCBI's taxonomy places the organism in Eukaryota, Metazoa, Chordata, Mammalia, Carnivora, Felidae. The record is from RefSeq and is a predicted model, not a curated record. The transcript is spliced from 7 exons.
CAUGAUUACAAGGCUUUUUAACAGCCCCCAGAUCCCUUACUGCUGCAAAACUUCUCACAAGCGUUCUAUGCACUAGUCUGUUUAACAGUGUUGGUUUAAUUGCUUUACCUGUUUAUUAACCAACCCAAUCAUUUCGGGGAAUGCAAACCCUUCAAAUCGCUUUCUGAAACGUAUCUAGAGUAUCCCAUGUUGAUAUUCAGAGAAAGAUCUGCAGCGGGAUAAAAACUUGAGUUCUGAUGUUCAUCCCCUGACCCAAAUUGCUGUUGCCAGGAUAUGCGGUAGUAAUGCAGUGGUUUCUUUGAGACUCCAAGGAUGUACUUUACCCUAGAAAUAGGCAAUCUCUAGUAAAUCCCUUUUAGUGGCCGAGAUUUCUGCGGUAACAAUGCUCAACUGGAAGGUAUUUUAAACACCCGAAAGACGAGUUCUUCCAAUUUGGCCUUUAUUUUUUGCUCAAUAAUGCCUGCUAUCACGAGGACAUUUUUCCUUACAACAUUUGCAACUAAAGAAAGAAAAAGGCAGCUUGUGGCGCUAGUUAUCAAACGCUUAGGAAGUCCAUGAUCAUUACGCUUCUUAAAAAUCUUUCGAGGUAGGUGGGGGCCAACCUUACGUCGACCACAGUCCUACAACUUACGGCUUGCCAAGCAAAACUAACGGCCUAAUAACAACAACAACAACGUUCACGCCCGGAGAAAUCUCAAUGUUUGACCAACCAAGAAGGCGUCUGGUAACUAAAGCACCCUUUUCCAUGGGAAGAAAUGAAAAGACAAUGAAAGGGAUUCACCCUAGUGAGGAUGGACGAAGGACGACCCCAAGAAGAGCCGAGCGAGCAAAACCCAGGGGUUCGGAAGCGGUAGUCUCAGCAACACCCGCCCGAAGCCCUCCCAACCCACCCCUCUUUUCCCCCCAGGAGCCCGCCCGUCGCCUCCGCAGGCCGGGCGGACCCGAGGGGAGCACAGACCCCAGUGUGCGGUCGGGCUUCCGAAACCCGCCCAAGCAGGCCGAAGCCGCAAACCCGCGGCCUAAGUUUAACAGAUAAGAGAAUAAGAAGUGAGAGCAGACGCGGCCUCGCCUCAAGCUGGGAGGCCCCCUGAAGAAUUGGGAGGCGGGAGCAGAGCGAGCCGGUUCGUAAUCCGGAGCGGAGCCUGAAGGAAAAGAGCUGGGAGCGGGGGGUGAGGAGGUCCCGGCUCGGCCAGCGCCUUCCCGGAUGCUCGGCGACGCCCGUGUUUACCUGAAAGUCUCGGUCCUCGUUGAAGCGGGAGAAGCGGUCCGCCAUUUUGCCGCCUUCGCUCCUCUCAGGACGAAGCGCUCGGGUUCGCUCCUUCCCUCCCGCGACACCCGCCCCCUCGCUCGCCUCCCCAGUUCCCCGCCUCCUCCCACGCCCACCCGGCGCGCGCAGGCAGGGAGGGAGGAAACGAGAAGUCGCGUCCAGAAGGGAGCCCCUCCAGCGCAGGCGCCUUUCGGCCCUGGAGGCGGAACCUUCCCUUAAGUCCCCUCCACUCUCGCGGCCCAGAGCGACCCCGGCGGCCGCGCGUGCGCGUUCGCGCCCGAGAGCAGCAAGCGCUUCCGGAGAGAAAGGUCACGGGGGCACAAUGCGCUUGGGUCCGGAUGUUUUCCACCUGCUCGCUUCUACGCGCAUUUGGGAUGGUGAAACCAAGAGCUGCCUCUCUUUGGGCCCUGUGGACCCAGCUGUGUCUCCCAAGGAGUCCUGGGUACAAUGUGAGGGAGAGCAGACCCCUGCUGGCUACACGAGGGACUGUCCCGGGGCUCUUCCAAUGGCUCCUUCCCACUGCUCUUUCAGGGAAAGGGGCAGUGGGUGGCCAGGAGGACCUCACAGGCUUCUCAGGUCCAGAGACCCAAGCACCUCAGCAGCAAGAAGAGGCAAGAUCCCAGAACCACCUGGCGCCUCUGUCUACAGUCUCCUCCCUGGUUGUGAUGCGAGACCAGGCUCCAAGGAUAGGAGUUUUGAGAGUCCACUGAAGAUGGCACCAUCUUCCCACUGCCUGGCUGGAAGGAACAAUGCAGAUUUAUUGUACCCGUUCUGCAGAUAGAGAAACUGACACUCAGAGAAGCAAAAUGAUUCACUGAAGGCCAGAGAGGUAGUAAGUACCAAGGCCAGGACCUGAGCACUUUGGUCUCCCCGGGGCCGCUUCAUGGGUUCCCACCAUUAUAUCAAAUUUGUUUUUUACCUUCACUUCUCAGAUCGGGGAACAUAUUUACAAUUCAGUAUGGCUUCAAGAAAUUGGAUAAUCUUGCCAAAACUGGAGGAUGGAAACCUGGACCUAGAAACCUGGCUUGCUUACUUCUCCUCAGAGCUUAGCUUCUUGCCUCCCUAAAUAGAAAGGCCUUGUGAACACAGGGAGAAAACAGCCACCUGCAAGCCAGAGGAGAGACCUCAUUAGAACGCAACCAUGUGGCAACCUGAUCUGGGACCUUCAGAACAAAGACAAUAAAUUUCUGUUGUUUAAGCCAUUUGGUCUAUGGCAUUUGGUUUUGGCGUCCAAGCAGACGAAGACCACGGGGAAAUAGGUGCCUACCAAAUUGUUAGAUGGACUGGAAAAGCAGGACUUUAUAAUGAAGCCCCAGAAACGAUGGUCCAGUAGGAGCCCCUACCUCUGCCGCAGUCGGGGGGGAGGGAGAAUGAAGAGGCUACGGCUGGAACUAAUAUCAUGGAUGCAGCCCCAAAGCUCCACAGGAAUCGGUGCCAGGCUUCCACCACCGUCCCAGACACUGAACACUGUGGAUGCUGCCGCAGGAAGACCCCAUCUCCAGGGGCUGGCCUGCCAGCAGAAAUAGCAGAGCAACAAGAACGCGGUCUCAUCACCCUCCCAACUUUCAAGUCCCGAACAAUGCACUUUGCAUCCAGACCUUUAGCUGCGAGGAAAGCUAAGAGAUGAGUUUCUUGGCUUUCCAACCUCUGCAAGUGCUGGAAGGUACUAGAAGGAGGUGGGAAUGGAUGCUGGGGGCCGGUCCAUCUUGUCCACACACUGGGGCAGUGGGGGUAGAAGUUAAUGCUGGAAAGCUACGUUGGGGUUAGAGUUUGAAAGCUUGUUGAAUGAGUUUGGAGUGGGGGACGGGGCAAGACUGGGCAGCUGCCAAGAUGAAGCAAGGCUCUGAAAGCUAAUUGAGGGCUCUGGAAAGCAGGAAGCUCUGGCGUGUGCAUAAGAAUCACUUGGGGAUUAUCAAUUCUGAUCAGCGGCGGGACCCGGGAAUCUGUAUUUCUAAUAGGAAAAUCCUGCCCCAGUGCCCCUUCUUCUGUGAUUCUGAUGCAUGUGGACCCUAGGCUUUUAGGAACAUUGUCCUGGGACAGGAGCUCUGAUGGGCAAUUCCACAUAGUACAGUGAGCUCUGAAAAGGUUCCAUUUGUCUGGGGCACAGUUAGCCCAGUUAGCGCCUUCUUCUCCUUCCUGAGAGCUAGUUCUAAAGACCGGAUGCUUGAACCCUGAAAAGUACCAGUGAUAGUGGGAGUGCAGGGGCAGGGGGCUCUGCUGGAACCCAGGAGUCUAGGGAUUUAACGCAUCCCCCACCCCCGAAAAAAACCACCCAGGAAGAACUAGGUGGUCAGUCAGUGACAAGCACAAGCAUCUCUUGGAGCUGUGGCUCACUGGGUUCUCCCUGCAGCCCCCGGCACUGGUGUUCAGGACCUUUGGGACCCUAUUUUGAUAGCAGAGGUCAGACAGUGCCUUAAACCCUGGGGGGUUCAAGGAUUUGACAGAAAAGGAGCAAGCUGAAACAGAAACAGGGGACAGGAGAGGGAGGAGAGAGCUGGCUGGCCCUGCCAUCCAGAGUGGCCUGGAGUCCCCACUCGAAGCCAGUGUUGUCCAUAACCCACACUGAAU